GAUGAACGCUGGCGGCGUGCCUAAUACGUGCAAGUCGAGCGAACGGACGAGGAGCUUGCUUCUCUGAUGUUAGCGGCGGACGGGUGAGUAACACGUGGAUAACCUACCUAUAAGACUGGGAUAACUUCGGGAAACCGGAGCUAAUACCGGAUAAUAUUUUGAACCGCAUGGUUCAAAAGUGAAAGACGGUCUUGCUGUCACUUAUAGAUGGAUCCGCGCUGCAUUAGCUAGUUGGUAAGGUAACGGCUUACCAAGGCAACGAUGCAUAGCCGACCUGAGAGGGUGAUCGGCCACACUGGAACUGAGACACGGUCCAGACUCCUACGGGAGGCAGCAGUAGGGAAUCUUCCGCAAUGGGCGAAAGCCUGACGGAGCAACGCCGCGUGAGUGAUGAAGGUCUUCGGAUCGUAAAACUCUGUUAUUAGGGAAGAACAUAUGUGUAAGUAACUGUGCACAUCUUGACGGUACCUAAUCAGAAAGCCACGGCUAACUACGUG
This 497-nucleotide ribosomal RNA is filed under the name uncultured bacterium. RNAcentral's name for it is "partial 16S ribosomal RNA". It matches the Rfam family "Bacterial small subunit ribosomal RNA", at positions 28 to 507 of the family's 1533-position model. The record is from RNAcentral.